This is a long non-coding RNA of Rhineura floridana, 2150 nucleotides long. RefSeq lists it as uncharacterized. Lineage: Eukaryota; Metazoa; Chordata; Lepidosauria; Squamata; Rhineuridae. The record is from RefSeq and is a predicted model, not a curated record. The transcript has 3 exons.
UUCCCUUUCCCAACAGACUGUUUUAAUCUGUAACAGACGAAUACAGCUACCCUCUCCCCAAAAGUCAGCGCCUCCUCUGCUGCCACCAACCUUCUUUUCGGCCUCUGGUUUUCACCCUCGGAGACAGACAAGGCCCUUUCCCCAAUCUUAAACUCCCGAUCUCCGCGCCGGGGCUGUACAAUUCUCUGCAGAUCCGGCAGCUGACUGUUUUCCUACCUUGGGGCGGGGCUGCGCACGCAAGUCCCAGCGGGGCCCAGCCGGGUCUCUCAGGACGGAGGAUAGAGGACGUCUCCGAUCACGACAAGUAGACGCUGCAGGACUCACGUGCGAUCGAUGGGCUGGCUGGCUGGGGAGAGGAAGGGGAGACACGUCAGCGCCGGCAGCCGAGAGGGACGGAUCUCUGUCUCUUUUAAAAAAAACCCUCCCCGUGGGCGUCUAAACUCCGGGGCUGGAAGAGGCGCGCACGGUUGCAACAGCGCCUGAAGCUCAGAUUUUAGGCACUAGAUGAUCAGAGGCACAAUCCUAGUUCGGAAAAAAUGGCUUCCAUGUAUUUCCCAUGCCAGAGCCCUUACAAGCAGACAUUCUGCAGUUUAUUACAGAAGAUGUAUAUCUUAGCAGCAUGGGAAAAGGCAUAGAAGCAACCAAGGAAAGAAGAGGAAGAAUUUGACAAAUCCAAAUGAUUGACCUUAAUUGGAACAGCAAAGGAUGCAAACAAGAUUUAAUAAAUGGAUUUAUCAACUAAACCCAAUCAACUAAGGCAUGGAUGGGGAAGCUGGGCCCUCCAGAUGGAUUACAACUCCCAUCAUAAGAAUUUAAGAAGAGUCCUGUUUGAUCAGGCCAGUGGCCCAUCUGGUCCAACAUCCUCUUCACACAGUGGCCAACCAGAUGCCUGUGGGAAGCCUGCAAGCAAGACCUGAGGGCAAAAAGCACUCUCCCCUCCUACAGUUUUCAGCAACUGGUAUUCAGAAGCAUAUUGCCUCCGACUAUGGAGGCAGAGCAUAGCCAUCAUGGCUAGUAGCCAUGGAUAGCCUUAUCUUCCAUGAAUUUGUUUAAUCCUCUUUUAAAGCCAUCAAAGUUGGUGGCCAUCAGCCGCAGUCAGCAUUUCCAACAGUUAGGGAUGAUGAGAAUUGGAGUCCAACAACAUCUAGAGGCCCACAUGUUUCUCAGCCCUCCUGUAUACACUUCUGCUAGUGCAAUACCAAAGAAUCUCACAAGUAGGCCUCAUUUUGGCCUAACAAGCGAUCAUUACAGGGUAAAUUGAUGGCAAGAAUUUACAUUAUCUGAGCAGUGAGAUGCUUGCUUCCUUGUGAACUCUUGAAGUUCCCUUAUACUGAGUGAGACUGUAGAUCCUUCUAGCCUAGUAUUGUCCCAAGGCUUCAGGCACAAAUCUUUUGCUAGAUCAGAGACCCGCUAACUAUAUAUGCCAAGAUCCGGGGAUUCCGUCAAUGUUGUUGUUACUAAUGUUGCUGCUGCUGCUGCUGCUGCUGCUGCUACUGCUACCGCUACCACCAUCACCCACCCACCCUUCACCAUAAAGUCAUAGGGCAGGUCACAAUUUAAAAUGCAACAUUAAAAACAGUUUAAAACAAAUUAAAAUCACAAGAAUAGAGUGGAUCCCAAUAUAUCUAUAUCUAGAUAGAUAUCUAGAUAAGUGUCAAAGGUCAGGAUAAAGAGGUGCGUCCAGCAUACAACAAAAACUAUAAUGAAGGUUCCAGAUGCACCUCUGUGGAAAGGGGCUGCCACAGAGAAUGCCCUGAGGAUGGUGGAUCUAUUAAGAGAGCCCUCUCUGCUUAUCUUAACACCCAAGAGAGUCUGUGGGGAAGGAGGCCGUCUUUUAGAUAUUUGGGGCUUAAGUCAUUUAGGACUUUAAACAUUAAUGUGAACACCUUAAAUUGGGCCUGGAAAUGAACCGGCAACCAAUGCAGCUGUUUUAAAACAGGGGUUAUAUGAAUUCUAAAUGGAACCCCAACCAGUAAUCUGGCCGCUGCAUUACCCACUAGGCUGUGGGUACUCAAAAAAGACACAGCAAUCUUCAAAGAAGCACAGAAAAGGGCAACCAAAAUGUUUGGGGUUGGAACAACAUUCUUAAGGAGAAAAGGCUAAAGUGUUUGGGACUUUUUAGUUCAGAGUGUGGACAAAGUGGUUAGAAG